UACGGAGGGUGCAAGCGUUAUCCGGAUUCACUGGGUUUAAAGGGUGCGUAGGCGGGCAGGUAAGUCAGUGGUGAAAUCUCCGGGCUUAACCCGGAAACUGCCGUUGAUACUAUCUGUCUUGAAUAUCGUGGAGGUAAGCGGAAUAUGUCAUGUAGCGGUGAAAUGCUUAGAUAUGACAUAGAACACCCAUUGCGAAGGCAGCUUACUACACGAUCAUUGACGCUGAGGCACGAAAGCGUGGGGAGCGAACAGG
This 253-nucleotide ribosomal RNA is filed under the name uncultured bacterium. RNAcentral's name for it is "partial 16S ribosomal RNA". It matches the Rfam family "Bacterial small subunit ribosomal RNA", at positions 524 to 776 of the family's 1533-position model. The record is from RNAcentral.